UUCAGUCCUAAAACAGCACAGUCUCUGCGUGAAGGCGAAGCCGAACCAGAUGAUUUAUGUUUUCUCAGCUCUCUACUCUUCCUCCUUUUGCAGCGCUGGAUUUAAUGUUUAUGGAGGGUGGGAUUGCUGGUGGCAUAGAGAUCUGCAUCACCUUCCCCACUGAGUAUGUCAAGACUCAGCUACAACUGGAUGAAAAGGCCAACCCACCCAAAUUCAGAGGAAUAACUGACUGUGUGAAACAGACGGUACAGGGUCAUGGGGUCAAAGGACUGUACCGAGGACUCAGCUCUCUGCUGUAUGGAUCAAUACCUAAAUCUGCGG
Labrus bergylta (ballan wrasse) is the source of this 321-nucleotide non-coding RNA. Lineage: Eukaryota; Metazoa; Chordata; Actinopteri; Labriformes; Labridae. The record is from RefSeq and is a predicted model, not a curated record.